RNAcentral lists this microRNA (21 nucleotides) under Brachypodium distachyon (stiff brome). Its description in RNAcentral is "bdi-miR169k-3p". Its record names the gene bdi-miR169k-3p. Lineage: Eukaryota; Viridiplantae; Streptophyta; Magnoliopsida; Poales; Poaceae. The record is from miRBase by way of RNAcentral.
GGGCAAGUCAGCCUGGCUACC